GCUCCAAUAGCGUAUAUUUAAGUUGUUGCAGUUAAAAAGCUCGUAGUUGGAUUUCGGUUGAGAGCGGCCGGUCCGCCGUUUGGUGUGCACUGGCUGGUUUCAACUUCCUGCGGAGGACGCGCUCUGGGCUUAACGGUCUGGACGUGGAGUCCGCGUGGUUACUUUGAGUAAAUUAGAGUGUUCAAAGCAGGCCACCGCUC
Molecule: ribosomal RNA, 200 nt
Filed under: uncultured eukaryote
Lineage: Eukaryota
Description: partial 18S ribosomal RNA
Rfam family: Eukaryotic small subunit ribosomal RNA
Source: RNAcentral